Molecule: ribosomal RNA, 1390 nt
Filed under: uncultured bacterium
Lineage: Bacteria
Description: partial 16S ribosomal RNA
Rfam family: Bacterial small subunit ribosomal RNA
Source: RNAcentral
AGAGUUUGAUCCUGGCUCAGGAUGAACGCUAGCGGCAGGCUUAACACAUGCAAGUCGAGGGGCAGCAUGUCCAGCAAUGGAUGAUGGCGACCGGCGGAAGGGUGCGUAACGCGUGAGCAACAUGCCCUAUACAGGGAGAUACACCAGGGAAACUUGGUCUAAUAUCCCAUAGCAUUCAUUGAAGGCAUCUUUAAUGAAUUAAAGCUUCGGUGGUAUAGGAUUGGCUCGCGUGACAUUAGCCAGAUGGUGAGGUAACGGCUCACCAUAGCAAUGAUGUCUAGGGGUUUUGAGAGGAAGGCCCCCCACACUGGGACUGAGACACGGCCCAGACUCCUACGGGAGGCAGCAGUGAGGAAUAUUGGACAAUGGAUGGAAAUCUGAUCCAGCCAUGCCGCGUGCAGGAAGACGGCCUUAUGGGUUGUAAACUGCUUUUAUACGGGAGCAAUAAGGGUUACGAGUAAUCCGAUGAGAGUACUGUAUGAAUAAGCAUCGGCUAACUCCGUGCCAGCAGCCGCGGUAAUACGGAGGAUGCAAGCGUUAUCCGGAUUUAUUGGGUUUAAAGGGUGCGCAGGCGGGUUUGUAAGUCAGUGGUGAAAAACUGCCGCUUAACGGUAGUCUUGCCAUUGAUACUGCAAAUCUUGAGUUUGGUUGAGGUAGGCGGAAUGUGCAGUGUAGCGGUGAAAUGCAUAGAUAUUGCACGGAACACCAAUUGCGAAGGCAGCUUACUAAACCAUUACUGACGCUCAUGCACGAAAGCGUGGGGAGCAAACAGGAUUAGACACCCUGGUAGUCCACGCAGUAAACUAUGUUCACUCGCUGUUUGCGAUAUACAGUAAGCGGCUUAGCGAAAGCAUUAAGUGAACCACCUGGGGAGUACGAUCGCAAGGUUGAAACUCAAAGGAAUUGACGGGGGCCCGCACAAGCAGUGGAUUAUGUGGUUUAAUUCGAAGCAACGCGAAGAACCUUACCAGGGCUUGACAUCCAACUAACGAAGCAGAGAUACAUUAGUCCUUCGGGACACCUGUGCAGGUGGUGCAUGGUUGUCGUCAGCUCGUGUCGUGAGAUGUUGGGUUAAGUCCCGCAACGAGCGCAACCCCUGUUGCUAGUUGCCAUCAUUAAGUUGGGCACUCUAGCGAGACUGCCGGUGACAAAUCGGAGGAAGGUGGGGACGACGUCAAAUCAUCAUGCCCCUUAUGUCCUGGGCUACACACGUACUACAAUGGCUAUAACAGCAGGGAGCUAAGGAGUAAUCCGGAGCGAAUCCUCAAAAAUAGUCCCAGUUCGAAUUGUGGGCUGAAACCCGCCCACAUGAAGUCGGAAUUGCUAGUAAUGGCAGGUCAGCAUACUGCCGUGAAUACGUUCCCGGGUCUUGUACUCACCGCCCGUCAAG